Molecule: long non-coding RNA, 4222 nt
Filed under: Capsicum annuum
Lineage: Eukaryota; Viridiplantae; Streptophyta; Magnoliopsida; Solanales; Solanaceae
Description: long non-coding RNA (CANN_LNC015055)
Source: RNAcentral
UGGAAAACAAUGUGAUUUAUUAGAGGAACGAGCAUUACAAAGUUCAAGUUUUUCUUUAGUAGCAACAGGUAAAUAAAACUUCUUCAAAAUAAAAUUUAAAAUUGUCAAAUGAGGAUACCCAAGUCACAAUGCCAUAGCUGAAAAGUAACUUUUGUGGAGGAAAGAUUGAUGGAUAUUGGUGGUCCGAUUGGCUGAUGCGGCCAUUCAUAUAGUCCUUUGUUAUUCUGUCCUUGCACCAACAACGUCUGAGUAUGCAGGUCUUCACAGGAAAAGUAAAUGAAAAAAAAUUCAACAGAUGUUAGACUGUCUUGACAAAACUUGGCUAUUGAAAUAAGAUUCUUUUUAAUUGGUGGAGCACAUAGGGUGUUAUAAAGCCUAAAAGAAGAAUUAAAUGCUUGUAUCUGAGUUGAACCAGUAUGAGUAUAGAAAUGGUUUUACUAUCACCCAUAGAUAUUUCCUCAUUGCCUGUAUACUCUUCAAGAUUGUCAGGUUCAGGUGUGAUAUGAUGAGUCAUACCAGAAUUCAGAACCCAUGAUCUUUCUGCUGACUGCAAAUUAGAGGCAAAGUUGGCCUUAGCUUCAAAAUGAUUGUGCAAUUUGAAAUGGCAUACAUCUGCAGUAUGAUCAAAUUUUUUGGCACAAUUAGUAUCAAACAAAUUUUCUCGAGUUUUAUCUCCAAUUUUGCUGGUUGUUGGAGCUAGACCGUCAAGUAGUAGAUAGGUUUUAUUAUUGAUUGUUGAAAUGAUAGUUGUUCCUGUUAGACUGGUAUGACAUGUUUGUCUUCUAUGCUAUAAUAACUGUGAUAUUGAAGGAUGGAUUCUCAAGAUCUUGGUGGUUGAGGAAAAGCUCAUGAUAUGUGAGCUUGUGAAGCAAUUCUUCAAAACAUAAUGAAGAGUCUUUUGAUCUUAUAGCGGCAGAGUUUUCACGGUACUCGAUGCCCAGAUCAUUUUCUGUUACUGGUGAUCCAACACUUUUGAGAGCAUCAGAGAGAGAUCGAACCUUUGUAAGUAUUCUAUAACAUAUUUAAAGGCUUUCUUGAUAUUUUGCAAUUGGUUGUGCUAGAUAAAAAUGCGAAUGUGGCCCUUAUUUGUGUAAGUCGUGUGAAGAAGUUCUCAGGCGGUCUUAGUAGAUGGAGUUGUGACAACAGUUGGCACAUUGGUGGGAUAAACAGAUGCCAUUAUUGCUUGCUGGAUCAGCUGGUCCUGAGAGAAUCAGACCUGGUAUCUAGGAUUUGGCAUCAUAAGGUUAUCUUGGGUAACUGACAUGACCCGAACCAGGGUCUGGUUGUGUCAGGUAUCUCAAGUUCAACCAGGACUGGAGACCACCCCCAAUACCCAACCUUUGACCUUCUGACACCUCAUGUUGGAUGAACUCUUAACAUAUAACAAGAUAAGAGAAUAUCAAACUAAAAACAUUAUGAUAAGUUUAUGACCAAAACCAACCACCAACAACUAAUCAAAUAACCAAUAUCAAUACUGAUACCGAUAUAGACACCGAUACCACCCAUGUCUAUAAUAGUCCAACAAAACCUCUAAUCAAAACCAAAGAAUAUCUAGUCGGAUCACGCCCCCGACCAUAGACAAAACUAAAACAAAAAAAAAAUAGUAAAGACAUAAGGAAAUCCACAACAUGAAAUGGGGUCUUCCAAAGUAUAGAAGCUCACCACUUCAGUUUGACUAACGAGCUGAUCCUGGAUCCUAAUAAAUGUGCAGAAGAAAUAGAAGUAUGACCCGUUCUUGCAUUGCGUGGGAGUACAAUGUCUGAAGACGGUUAAUGAUGUGAACCUCAACAUGAAACUUCGGGAUAAAGAUAAAGUAAUGCCAUCAAUCCAGAACCAAAUCUACCAAGCACAUAACCAUAUGCAAAUACACACACACAUACAUAUAUAUACAUAAAAAAAAUUGAGAUAGGGAACAAGAUUUAGCAUGCAUUUUAAUACCUUAACCUGGGUUGUGUAGCUUUACCGUCCUAAGUCCACCCAUGGGCUAUAUGGGUAUAGUGUUACCCUAUGAACGGGCCCUAGUGCAUCUUAGCCGCAUGAAUCGAAGAUAUUAUAGAUGAUCGGGGAUUUUCUUGUACACUUCGCCCUCCAUGAUACAUAUAUACGAAUAUACACUUGGGGAUUUCCUUGUAUCCCUACAAAUACAUGGUCAUUAAGACCAACCCUCAUGUCGACAAACAUGAGUUUUUAGUGUCCGUCCUUUGGACUCACAUCUUCACGACUAACUAUCACAACUCCCAUUAUUGCCCAAUUAAAAUAUUUAACACAUAACCAAACCACCAGUUCUAGGAGUCAAUUAUUAAGGCAUUAUUAACAGUGGCGGAGCCAAGAAUUUAGCAAAGGGUGUGAAAAUUUUCUUCCCAGUUAUGUUAAGGGUGUGCAAAAUCAAAUAUUUACUCAUAAUAGCUAACAUUUAACCUUUGUAGACCACGUAAUUACUCGACGAAGGGUGUUCAUCUGACCAUCCUUCGUUUAAGGUGGCUCCGCCCAUGAUUAUUAAGUGGUAUCGUCAUCCCAACCAUAGCUUGGAAGAAAUUUCAUUAGCUAACACUUAGGGGAAUCCCAUGUAACCCAUAGACUCUAUUGUUAAAAUCACUUGGGGAGGUUCCCGUGUACCCCACAAGGUUUUCAAAACUAUCUUCAACAAAUUAACCAUUUAUGCUAUGCAUUAGUUUCAAGAAAUAAAUCAAACCAAGUAAUAAUGCAUAAACUAAAAUCAAGUAUGCAAGUGGUUUGAGGUUGUACCAAUUUCCAUACCAAACCAAUUAAUUUGGAGAUAUAUUUGUACCCCUAUUUCCAUCCACCAUUUUCAUGCACUUCAAUGCAUUUACCAACUAUCAAUUUAAGCACAAUAGUUUCAUAGAUAUCAUGAAAAAACAUUUUAAACAAUUUAUAUUAAAAAUUCUCAGCCCAUAGUUCAAAACCCAACAUCAAUAUCUUAUGAACAAUACUUUAAAUCACAUGCUUUAACAAAAUUGACAAUGAGGGAAGAGUAAUAUGCCUGAAAUAUCAAAAAAUUUGGAAAAGAAGGCACCCUUAGAACCCUGGAUGACCUCUUUCUGUGAAACCCUAGCCUUAACUUAAACAGAGUGCCCUCACUUAAAACCUAAAAAGUGUCGCCUUUGACAAUCAGUUAACCAUCGACUCGUUACCACACCUUAUGACUUAUCACCACGAGUCGUAACCAAGACAGUGACUUGGACCCCCAUACACUGUCCACCUUACGACUCAGGACUAGAACUUGUAUCAAGACUUUACAACUCGUAGGGUCUUAGUCGUAAGCAACACAGAACCCAAAUGGGUCCAAUACUGGACACCCUAUGAUUGGAUCCUACGACUUGUAACAUGUCCUUAUGGCUGUUUGUGAGCCACUCGUAUUCAGAGCAGAAUCAAUCCACAAACUUACUAUUUGGUUAUGACUCGUCAGGACACCCUACGACUCAUAGGUUUCAGUCGUAAUCAGGGCAAUGAGCUCAGAGCUUAAGGAAUUUCAAGGGCCAAAAUUCGAAGUGACUCAUUGGUAGUGCCGAUUUUGAUCCGUCAAGAUGUCCCAUGAAUUAAUGGUCAUUGAUUAGCAUCACAAGUUAUGCUUUCCAAGUCGAGCAGUUGAGGUUACCUUGUAAUUUGAUAGAUAAUUGAGACGCGGGAUUGAAUUGUACCACAUGAACAAUAGGUGAAACAGUAGAACUGUUAUUAGUAGUAGUAGCAUCACCAGAGUUAAUAAUAAUUGGAGGGGUUGUUUCUGGAGAUAUAGCCAUGGAUGGGGAGAGAAAAGGAUCUAAAACGUAAGAGGCUAGAGAUGCUGAUACCAUAUAAAAUCAGAUAGAGAGAAGUAGUCGAAAGAUGAUUUUUUUCCUUAAGAAUCCAAGAUUUAAAUACAAUAAAUAACAACCUACAACCAAACUUAAGGAAGCUAAUUAUUACAUAUACUCCUAAACAGUUGGAGUCUUCUACAGAUAUACAACAACAGUAAACUUCUACAAUAGGAGGAGUUUUCUACAGAUAUAAAAAAUAGUAACUAUAACAGUAAUUUAUUCUAAUAAUGAUAAUAUAAAAUACUUACGUUUAACAAUGGCAAAGGACAAAUUGGCGUAACGAAGCCCUUGAUAGCUUCCACGAGAGAAAAACACAAGCAAGAAAGUAAAGAGAAAACUAAUGCUUGAAGAACAAGUAAAGAGUGCAUUGUAUUACUUAACGUCUAAUUUCAAAUAAUUAAGUAAAG